RNAcentral lists this long non-coding RNA (515 nucleotides) under Salvia miltiorrhiza (redroot sage). RNAcentral describes it as "long non-coding RNA (SMIL_LNC006079)". Lineage: Eukaryota; Viridiplantae; Streptophyta; Magnoliopsida; Lamiales; Lamiaceae. The record is from RNAcentral.
UACUCAAUUGUAGUGAAGAAAGUAAGAAAUGCACAAGCAAAUGAUCGUUAUUAAUGGUGAAACUAGAUUGUUCAGUCAUCAUAAGCAUAGAGACGAAAAUGUUAGAGAUACUUAAAACAUUUUUAAUCUAAUAAAGCACAACACCAACCAUACAUCCAUAUUGAAGAACUUGAUCUCGCACUGUCAUUGGCUCUAUUCCCCUGCCUGCACAUUGGCUCUAAUAUUUUAAACUCUUCUUUUGGCAUUGAAUCAAAUCGCUGAUACCAAAAAAUAAAACUUGCCUCUUAAGUGUAGCUACCAGCUCGAUCACUUGGUAUCACACGCAGGACCUAUGAUGAGAUUGAAUGGUACCUCAAUCUCCUUGGCGAGGCUGACAUUUUUGAAACCCACAGAGCGGUGGAAGGAUUUCUUGGCGAUGGCGUUGGUGAAGCAUUUGUCUAUGGUGUCCUCGACCGCGUACACCGCAUCCCUCAUCUGCCUCUCCAGCAGGGACGGAGCCAGGAAUUAAGUUCGGG